AUCGCUUCUUGGUCUUUUAGCUAAAAUUAACUGUGCUAUUUGUUCUUGUCAGUUUAGUAUCUGACCUGGUAAUUAUGAAGACGCUGUAUUCAAUGGGUCUUUGAAGUAGGGAGUUGAGAUGGGAGGUUGCACCGUGUAUUACAGCGUAUUCGUCUGGUAUUGCGGUCUUGCCGGGAAAGGCGCCUUUUG
Molecule: small nuclear RNA, 189 nt
Organism: Manis pentadactyla (Chinese pangolin)
Lineage: Eukaryota; Metazoa; Chordata; Mammalia; Pholidota; Manidae
Product: U2 spliceosomal RNA
Exons: 1
Source: RefSeq, a predicted model, not a curated record